RNAcentral lists this unclassified non-coding RNA (234 nucleotides) under Hevea brasiliensis (rubber tree). Lineage: Eukaryota; Viridiplantae; Streptophyta; Magnoliopsida; Malpighiales; Euphorbiaceae. The record is from RNAcentral.
GGACAGCGUCGAUGGCAGCAAUCAUUUUCUCAGCAUAUUCAGGAUCUGGGCACCUUACUAUGUUGCUCUCAAUCUGCUCCAUUGACAAAGUUUCAUGAUCAACCACACCCUCGGGCAGUACAACCUUGUAGACUUGAGAUACAUAAGCAAGUACCUCGGUUCCUGCAAGUUCCUUCAAAAUUUUCUUAGCAACAGCUCCCGCAGCAACCCUCCCAAUGGUUUCCCUGGCUGAAG